This 375-nucleotide ribosomal RNA is filed under the name uncultured bacterium. Its description in RNAcentral is "bacterial SSU rRNA". It matches the Rfam family "Bacterial small subunit ribosomal RNA", at positions 521 to 896 of the family's 1533-position model. The record is from RNAcentral.
UAAUACGAAGGGGGCUAGCGUUGCUCGGAAUUACUGGGCGUAAAGCGUGCGCAGGCGGCUUUGCAAGACAGAUGUGAAAUCCCCGGGCUUAACCUGGGAACUGCAUUUGUGACUGCAUGGCUGGAGUGCGGCAGAGGGGGAUGGAAUUCCGCGUGUAGCAGUGAAAUGCGUAGAUAUGCGGAGGAACACCGAUGGCGAAGGCAAUCCCCUGGGCCUGCACUGACGCUCAUGCACGAAAGCGUGGGGAGCAAACAGGAUUAGAUACCCUGGUAGUCCACGCCCUAAACGAUGUCAACUGGUUGUUGGACGGCUUGCUGUUCAGUAACGAAGCUAACGCGUGAAGUUGACCGCCUGGGGAGUACGGCCGCAAGGUUG